UGUGACUUUGGUUCCCUGUGAGCAAGAUGAUCUGCAAGUGGCGACAUGAACUGAUUACCAAUCACUGACUUCAGGAGGAAGCAAGACAAGGGAAUGAGAAGCAGCAAGUUAAAUGCAGAACAGAAAUGAAGCUGUUAGACCAAAUUUUCAGCUUCUCACAUGGCACCUCUAUCUGUGAAUACGAUUUUCUCACUUGUUAGAGCCUCUGUCACAUAAUACACUUGCCACAGAAUACUGCCACAGAGAAGAGCAAAGGAAGACAGCUGGCUAGCCAAAUGUCCCCACAAUGGGUAAGUUAUAAAAAUACUGUCUUUCCUUCUUGACUAUGAGAGAGUAGCUAAUACCUUUAAAAAAGGCCCUCUCCCACCAUUUUCCUAAGUAAAUCCUUUCUUCCAGUAACUGAAAAGCAGACUGAUGUAUUUAUUAAGACUCCAGACCAGUAUGCCACUUACUAGCUGUGUGACUAAGAAAUUAAGUUACUUAUUUGAGCUCCCAUUUCUUAAUCUGUAAAAUGGGUAUUAAAAUAGUUCUUAUUUUGUAAGGUUGCUGUAACCAAUGUGUAUUUCUAUACGCCUAUAUUAUAUAAAAUCCUUAGAAUAGUGCCUGAAAGACCCAUGGGGGAGCUGUCCAUCAGAGCCACACUCCCCACCAGCUCCUUGGAAGGCACCCCCAAAAGCAGGAGUGGAGAGUCCAAAUGUCAUCUGCCCUCGAACACCACAUGAAAUGGGGAGUACCCUUCACUCAGAGAGCAGCCCACCCCUCUUCCUCCUUUCAGGUCAGCAGGUUAUCAUCACUCACCAGGUGCAGGGUGCUGUGGGGUGGUGUGGCAGGCAAGAAGGGGCUGGGCCCUGCCAUGUGGAAGCUUACUGUCAAGUGAGCUGGGAGAGAAGAGCAUGUUCUACCCUCUCUUGAAAAAAAGGUCUGCAGAUCUGCAGAUGUAGUUUUAGGGCCAGGGCUUGAAAUACAAUUUGUGUAAUUCGGGUUAAUUUCUAAUUGUUUUCUGAAUACAAACACAUAUAAAUAAGAAAUCAGUUAAUAUAAAAAGGUCCAGCUGAACACAGAGAGGCUACUUUUUGACUUGUCAUGGCUCUGUCUAAAUCAAGUACAGCCAUAACUUUGAGAAUGGCAGAACCGAGGGCCACGUUCCCCGUGAAGGCAACUGCUCAGAGCCCCCGUCUAGGGAGAUUUUUGUGUUGUUUAUAGUUGAGCAGUGAUUCAAGGAGGCUGCUGGUGAAGGUGGCACUGUGGGCUAAUAAGGAUAAGAAAUCGGGCUUAUACAGAGAACUCAAAGGAAUAACCUCUACCUCCUCCACCCACUGUUAUUUCCCUUAGCAGGUGUGAGAGGGCGGGCCCAUAUCCCUGGGCCCUCAUCAUUCCAGUACCUGCCCAGUGUCCUCCUCUAAGCACCUGUGCCUCUUGGCCCAAGCGUUUCUCUCAGCUGCUGUGCAGCACCAGAAGAGGAGCCAGGCGUGGCACUCUGGUAGUGACAGACCUGGAGGGGAAAAACCUCCCUUUCCUACUCCUUGAAUGGGAUAUCCCUGAGGCAUGCCCUACACAGUCAUCCAAGGUUCCCCAAUGGGACUGAGCACCAGGUGCUAUGAGUGAUAACCCACUCAAUCACACACUCUUACAGCCCGCUUUCCCUUCCCCAUGCCAUCUUCCUCUCUUUUCUAUCUGUGCUUCCUGGGACCACCUCCCAUAUAAACUACUUACACUCAAAUCCUUGUGUUAGGGUCCUUCCCAGGGGAUUCCAACCUAAGUCACUUGCUCUUUCAGUAUAGUUUUAGGAUUCCUUUCUCCCUUGCUGCAAUAUUUAUUUCAAUCAAGUUUCCCCCACACAAGGUAUCUGGUCCCUUUACUCCUUGGAGAUGAGCCAGGUCCUACAGUGGCUGCCUUGGUCUUAUGAAUGGUGCUCAGAUCCUGGGAACACAUCUGGAAUGGAAGAACCCUUUCCAUCAUCUCAUACUGGGGUGCUGUCUUCUCUGACGUGUGCCUCUCCUGCAGUGGCACUGCUCCUGGGAGCACCUCGGACACAUGCUCAGAUCCGUGGCUAAAGCCACUGCAGAGCUCAUCCCUGCAUACCAGGCACACAGCUGCCUCCUGUGGCCGUGCAGGCUUUCUCCCUUCAAGUUCUUCUUCAGUCGAGUUGUAAGGCAUUUCUUCUGCCCAACAAAGCCAACCGAAACGGACGCUUCUUUUAUUGCAAACAUGGGCAGUUUAGGGGGCGGGUCCUCAGCUUGCCAUGGCUCACCUGAUUCAGCUCAAAUACUACAGCACCAAGGAAGACCAUUUCCUCCCUCAAGUCUAGGUAAAAAUGCAGUAUUUAAAGUUGUUUUUAUUUCACCAGGAAUUUCUCCAACUUUUGAAGAGCUACCCAUACUAUCUUUUACCCAUACUACCUUAGAGGGCAUUGCUGCAAGGUGGUUAACAGCAUGGAUGCUGAAGUCCAGUGGUCUGGGUUUGAAUAUUGGUUCUGCCUGGUUGUGUAGUUUUCGGCAAGUUAACUAAAUUUUCUGAGCCUUACUAUAAAAUGGGGACAACAAUAUCCUCUACUUCCAGGGUUGUUGAGAAGAUUAAAUGAGUUGAUACACAUAAAGUGUUAACGCAGCACCUAGCAAAGUAAAAGUGCAGUGAUUAUUACCCAUUGUUACUACCAGUAUUAAAAGUGGGAAUAACACCUUUAUAACCAUUCUCCCACCUGAUCCUUGCAGGGAGGGUUACCACAGUGGAAGUGAAGCUCCUCAACAAGCCUUCAGCUCUGUGAUGAAAUUCCCUGGUCCUCCACACCUAUCCAUCCCUGACAGAGUAUGAUCAGUUUGCUUCUAUUUCUAGUAGAAUAUAUUUCACAGCAUAAUAGUUCAAAGAAACCUUACAACCCUAUCCCCAAAUGUAUACUGUCAUUCAAAAACGCCAUCUCAAUCUUUCUUGAGGACAUACAUUUUUAUGUGUUUUUAUGUAUAUUCUCUAGUCACCGUUCUUCAACCAGAAGAACAUGUCUGGAAACAGAGUUUGCCCCCAAAAUAAAAAAUAACAAUAUAUAUAAUAGAGGUGAAGAAUUACUAUAGUAAAAUUUGUGAGGAUCUGAGUGGGGCUUGAAAUGUGCCUUUUUGGUAAGACACAUUUUUUGUAAGCUGACUAAGUAAAUUAAUAGUGGAAACAAGCAUGGCAGAUGAACAGACUAACUAUUAAUCCUUCUAAGCGAAUGUAUGAUUCUAAAGAGCAACUACUGGAUGCAAGCAAAUAAUAGAUGUCCUACACCAAAACUGAGCCAGAGUUUUUAUAUUUAAAAAAUGGACACACACCACUUGAUGACUUUUCUUGGCAUCCAAGUUACUGCCUAUGGUUGAAAGCUGUAUAGCCACUUAAAAAAUACCUUUUUAUAAUUCAGAAUGAUCACCAAUUUGAUAGAUCCUCUCCCCUUUGUUAGUGUUUUCCACCUCAAUGGCCAUCCCCAAUACAGGUCCUCCAUUCUGUUAAUUCCUCCUGUCUGAAUGGAGCCUGAUUUCCUCAGUUCCACGUACUCCUCCCCAGGCUCAUCCUGCACAGCACUGCCAGCCUCAUCUUCCCGCAGCUGCACACAUGGGAUGUGACUGCUCUGCUCACAAGUCCUUCCUUCAUCUGCUGCCACACACACACACACACACACACACACACACACAAAUUCCAGGAGGAAAUCUCAGUUCUUAGCCUGGGACCAUAGUUCCAGGUACCAAAUCCCACAAGGUAGCUUUCCAAGCUCAUUUUCUACCACUGACUGGCAUCCUGCACAUCCUUCUAUGCCAGCUCACACACCACCUCCUCCACCAGGGCUGGGAUUACUCAAUUCACAGGAAGCAGAAUCUUCUUUCUUCUCAUUGCUCAUGUUUGUCCCACGUGACUGGCACUUUAUCACACACUAUUCUGUGCCUUAGAAAGAACAUUGCUUUCUGAGAAGCACUCUGAAGGUAAGAAAAUUGUGGCCUUCAUAGAGGGGCCUACUGUUGCUUCUCAAAGAGAACUGAUGCUUAACAACUAUUUAUUGAUUCAACCAGUGACUGUACUAUGCUUCAGGAAAGGCCCUGGAGGUCAAUGACCAAGACCAAUUCAUAUGACUGCCCAAAGAAGAGAAGCUUGGAUUUCCACUAAACAAUAAGCUAUAACUCAUAUGAUAAGGAAUGGUUCAGGAAUUAGUAUAAGGAUUAACUAAAACAUGAUUUUGCUGAAAUGUAUUUACCUUUUAAUUGGUUGAACAUCAAUGGAAAAUUAGAAAAUGCAAAAUAUAAAUUUCUCAAAGUGUUACCUAAUCGAUUCUUAUACAGCCAAUAGUCAAAGCUUUUAAGGAAAUGACACCUUUCCAUAUAAAUGAAAAGACUUCUAAUUAUUAUAUGUAACAUUUUAAGGGGUUGUCAACUGUAUGUCUCUUGCCCUAAUUUUAAAUAUGUCCUAAAAGGAGACUCCACAACUACAUGCAAGGUAAAGAAUCAGUGGGUAAAUAAAGAAAAAAAAAGCUUCCGUUUUCCUGAAGUACCAUUGACACUGCCGUGCUAAGAAUAUGUCUAUCAAGAAUGGCAUAGAAAGAACUAACUGGCUUCUAGAUUAAAACACAUCAAUUAUUUCAUGACCGAAUAUCAAAUAGAAAAACUGCCUGAAUGCUCUAAAAUUCUAUCACAUCAUACCACAUUUGGCCUACAUCGAAUGGCAUAUACGUCAUUUAUCAUUAAAGCCUUUUUAUAUAGGUCAAGGUUGCUGGGGCUUGGUGUUUUGUAUCUUACAGUUUAAAGAAUGCUCUAAGUUCUAGGGUUUUUUUUUUAAUUUUUUAAUCUAUGAGGAAGGAAAACGAAAACUUCCUAUAAACUCAGAUUAAUGCCUGCUAAUGCACGGAAGAAAGAAAAACUAAAACCUUCCUCCUACUAUAAAAACAAAAUAGUGUGGCCUCUGUUUCUUUUCUGAUAAGAGUCUUAAAUACCCAACAGUUAACUGCAUAAUAACAUUUACUGGCAGCCAGGCAGCCUGCUUAGCAGAUAUAUAAAGCAGGUAAAAGGAGAAAAAGUUAAUUUCUUGGCUGAAUGAUUCCAUCGGUAGCUAUAGGGCAAACCUGAAAGUCUUUUAGUAAAGUAGCAGUUGAUUCUUCUAUCAAUCUGUAGCACACACACUCUUCCAAGGAAAGCAUUAAAUAUGAAAAUCAUAUCCCGUUAUCAUCUGUUUCCAGCUUUCAGCCCAGUAAGCUUUUCUUAAUGAAUGCUGCAGCCUAAGGAACAAGCACGCUGUUGGCUUUUCUGAAUAAUGGAGUGAUGCUACCAUUUUUGCUUAUUACAAUAUCGACUGGCUGAGGGGGUUUCACACAUAGUCACAAGUGACUACUCUUGCCAGCAUGCUCCAAGUUAUUACAAGAUGUUUUUAGACAUUUCAUCUAAAAGAGCUUUACUGCUUUUAGUGAAGAAAACAUCUACGGUCUUGAACAGAAUCAUUUAUAUGGAGAUAGGCAGGAGGAUUAGAAGCCUGCAUUAUAGCAGAUACAUAGCAGAAUUUAUUUAAGUAUUCCUUGUCGAUCUUUUUGUCUAUUGCUUAGAUAUGCAAUCUUUUCUUUCCACGUUUUCUGUGCAAAGGUUAAAAUGUACAAAAUUAUGUAUAUUCGCACAAAUAAAAGAAUCAAAAUGCCAUAUUUUGUUUACUUUUCAUUUAAAACACUUCUCAAACUAAGAAAAGAGCAGCUACAAGGCAUGAUUUAGAAAAACAAUUUUACCUACUGACAACACUGAGGUUUUCUUUAGAGUCUAUCCUUUCUUCACAAAGUAACACCCUUUCAGCAAACUUAAUUAAAUUAGACAUUAAAGCAAUAUUCUGUAAGCAAAAAUCUUUAAAUAAUCACGUAAGGUUUAAUCAAAGGGAUCUUCCUAAUAAGAUGAUUUUAUUUAAAACAAUAUCUCAAGAUAUAAACACUCCAGAAUUCCUCUGUUAACAGAAAGGUUACCAAUUUAGU
RNAcentral lists this long non-coding RNA (5959 nucleotides) under Homo sapiens (human). RNAcentral describes it as "HSALNT0399933". The record is from RNAcentral. Lineage: Eukaryota; Metazoa; Chordata; Mammalia; Primates; Hominidae.